This 253-nucleotide ribosomal RNA is filed under the name Cinnagrostis densiflora. RNAcentral describes it as "Deyeuxia densiflora partial 18S ribosomal RNA". It matches the Rfam family "Eukaryotic small subunit ribosomal RNA", at positions 1583 to 1831 of the family's 1831-position model. Lineage: Eukaryota; Viridiplantae; Streptophyta; Magnoliopsida; Poales; Poaceae. The record is from RNAcentral.
AUUGCAAUUGUUGGUCUUCAACGAGGAAUGCCUAGUAAGCGCGAGUCAUCAGCUCGCGUUGACUACGUCCCUGCCCUUUGUACACACCGCCCGUCGCUCCUACCGAUUGAAUGGUCCGGUGAAGUGUUCGGAUCGCGGCGACGGGGGCGGUUCGCCGCCCCCGACGUCGCGAGAAGUCCAUUGAACCUUAUCAUUUAGAGGAAGGAGAAGUCGUAACAAGGUUUCCGUAGGUGAACCUGCGGAAGGAUCAUUG